RNAcentral lists this non-coding RNA (48 nucleotides) under unclassified sequences. RNAcentral's name for it is "DUF3800-XI RNA". It matches the Rfam family "DUF3800-XI RNA". Rfam says of the family: Actinobacteria, Firmicutes, Proteobacteria, Spirochaetes (1 example). The record is from Rfam by way of RNAcentral.
UGGUCUGGGCAGAAGCUCUUUGGACCACCGUAGACGGGGAGAAUUCCC